CAAGAACAUUUGCAAUCUGCCUCUUCAUGACGGCAAUAUCUUUAGAAGAAAGGUCGGGCGGGCCCUCAUCCACAUCAUUAGUUGGUACAAAUUUUAAUGCAGAAUAUUUUGGAUCAACUUCAAUAUUAUCAAGCCAUGCAUCCUGCAAGGAUCAACAUAAAUCCCUCACCUUAAUCUCAUUCUCUCUUACAUAUUUAACAAAAUUUCCUGCUAUAUCAAAAUAACCUUCUUCCUUUCUUUAUCUAGGUUGAAAGGCUAGAUUUGAAUCCCGUGAUCAAAAAAAUUCUCACUAUCCUGCCACAAGAUAUCACACAUCACUGCCUGCCUAUCUUUUUCGUGUCCUGUAACAGCUCAUUGCACCAAUAAACCUUACUAUAAAAAAUGAUGUCAAAUUAGGAAUAAAUCUCACUACAAUAAUACAUUUGAACAAAAUCCCACAUGAAAUAAGCUUUACAAGCAAAAUAUUUAUUGUACCAGUUUCCAUGAAAAAGCACUUGAUAGAAAGAUUAAAAAAAUUAAUUUAGAUAAAAAAAGUUUGUCCACCUUGAAAACUUCAAACAAACCUCGUAUGUCACUUCACCAACUGAUAACAAAAAAAAAAUCAUCAACCAAAAGUUUAACAAAGCAACCUAAUAACAAAACAAAUCCUAAAUGCCCAAAGCAUUUAACAAAAAAUUUGAACUUUCCACCAAUAAAGCACAUUCAGGACGAAAUGUUCAACAAAUACUUCAAAAAACAUUCAACUUUACCAUGACAAAACCUAAAUGGCCAAAAAAUUAAAAAAAAAAUUAAACUCGCCAAACAAAAGCCAACCAUUAGCGAAAUAAACGGAAAAAAACCUUCAAAAACCGACCUUCAAUGGCGUCUUCUGGCUUCGUAAGCACCUAACGGCGGAACAGUUGCGGUGAAAAGCGUGCCCCUG
Molecule: long non-coding RNA, 922 nt
Filed under: Vigna radiata
Lineage: Eukaryota; Viridiplantae; Streptophyta; Magnoliopsida; Fabales; Fabaceae
Description: long non-coding RNA (VRAD_LNC012682)
Source: RNAcentral